Molecule: ribosomal RNA, 216 nt
Filed under: Glomeromycotina sp.
Lineage: Eukaryota; Fungi; Glomeromycota
Description: partial small subunit ribosomal RNA
Rfam family: Eukaryotic small subunit ribosomal RNA (bases 40-216)
Source: RNAcentral
GGGUCAGUAGGUUGGUCGUGCCCCCGGUACGUACUGGUCUCACUGAUUCCUCCUUCCUGAAGAACCGUAAUGCCAUUAAUUUGGUGUUGCGGGGAAACAGGACUGUUACUUUGAAAAAAUUAGAGUGUUUAACGCAAGCUAACGCUUGAAUACAUUAGCAUGGAAUAAUGAAAUAGGACGAUCGAUCCUAUUUUGUUGGUUUCUAGGAUUGACGUA